Molecule: long non-coding RNA, 1392 nt
Filed under: Monodelphis domestica (gray short-tailed opossum)
Lineage: Eukaryota; Metazoa; Chordata; Mammalia; Didelphimorphia; Didelphidae
Description: lncRNA (ENSMODG00000049577.1)
Source: RNAcentral
CCUUCACAUAGUAAUCACUUGUUAAAUCGUUUCAGUAAUGUCUGACUCUUCAUGGUCCUGUGUGGAGUUUCUUUUGGCAAAGAUAAUAGAGUGGUUUACCAUUUCCUUCUCCCAAUCGUUUUACAAAUAAGGAACUGAGGCAAAAAUGGUUAAGUCAUUUGUCAAGGGUCUCAGCUAGUAAAGAGUCAGGCUGGAUUUGAAUUCAUGAAGAGUCUUCCUGAUUCUGAACCCAGUGCUGAACCCACCAUACCACCUACUUACUUAAGUGAUUAAGAAAUCACUUAGUAAACUGACUGACUGAAAGGAUAAGAGUUAAGAAUGACUAUGAGGUUCCAAAUCCGGCAUUGUUAAAGGAACUUGGAACACUCAAUAGCAAAAGGGAAGCAUCAGUAAGGGCUAAGUUAUGUGGGUUAACCUGGAUCAGAAAUAAUAAAUAAUAUUUUGGACAUAUUGAAUUGAAGAUGACUAUGGAACUUUAAUAGAUAGUUGAUGAUGUGAGGCUUUACUCAGGAGAAAGAUCAGAAUUUGAAGAGGAAGGCAUUGUUAUUACAAUGAUAAAUGAACUCAUUCUAGGUGGUUUUUAAACUGGGCUUGAAGUCAGAGAAACUAAUGAAAGAAGUGAAGGGAGAGAUUAUUCCAGGCAUGGAGAAGAGCCAGUACAAAGGAGAUUUUGACAUUUGGAAACAUCAGAGGGAUUAACAGAGUGAUAUGGAAGAAGAGUGCAGUGAGACCCAGAAAGAAGAAUUUAGUAUUUCAGAGAAGACAUAGUAGAGUAAAGUCAAAUGAAGAAAACUUGUCAUACCUUUCAUUUUAACUCUUUCUGGUCCAAUCUGCAUGUUACAUUCUCAUCAUAUUCUAAGCGACUUCGUGUAGCUGCACUUACAAGUGCUGCUUUCCCAGGGCCCCAAGACAGUUACCAUCAGUUUUGCCAAUCACACAUCCUGCAGAUGCAUGUCCAAAAUGGGUGUUUAGAGACAAGUUAAUUCAAUCAUUAGACAUUUCACACCAGCAACAUUGUCACAAGAUGAGAUAAUUACAAGGGAUUCAUGAUGACAAAGACUCUCCACCAUCACAGAAGGAAAUGAUGGAGUCUGAAUGAAGAUUAAAGUAUAACAUUCAUCAUUUUAUUUAACUGAGAAUUUUUUCUAGCAUAAGCAAUUUGUGUCUUCUUUCAUAUGACAAACAAGGAAAUAUUUAUUGUAUGAUAACAUGGGUACAAUCUAUAUUGCACUACCUGCUGUCUUGAGGAGUACAGAGAGAUGAAAGGAAGGGAGAGAAAAGAACAUGGAUUACAAAAUGUCAGAAAACUAACUAUUGUUGAAAAUUAUAUUUAUAUUAUGUGGAAAAGCUUAGUUAAUUAAUUUUAAAAUAAAUUUAUAAUGUUAUUCCUCA